GACGAACGCUGGCGGCGUGCCUAAAACAUGCAAGUCGAACGGCUCGAGCAAUCGGGCAGUGGCGAACGGCGGAGUAAUACAUAAGCAACGUGCCCCGAAGACUGGGAUAGCCAGCCGAAAGGCUGAGUAAUACCGGAUGUGGCCCUCUUUUGGCAUCUUAAGAGGAUUAAAUGGUUUUUCGCUUCGGGAGCGGCUUAUGGCCUAUCAGGUAGUUGGUGAGGUAACGGCUCACCAAGCCUACGACGGGUAGCGGGUCUGAGAGGACGAUCCGCUCGAGUGGGACUGAGACACGGCCCACACACCUACGGGUGGCAGCAGUUGGGAAUCUUGCACAAUGGGGGCAACCCUGAUGCAGCGACG
Molecule: ribosomal RNA, 360 nt
Filed under: uncultured bacterium
Lineage: Bacteria
Description: bacterial SSU rRNA
Rfam family: Bacterial small subunit ribosomal RNA
Source: RNAcentral